This is a non-coding RNA of Caenorhabditis brenneri, 72 nucleotides long. Lineage: Eukaryota; Metazoa; Nematoda; Chromadorea; Rhabditida; Rhabditidae. The record is from the annotation of a GenBank genome assembly.
UAACGGGUGGCCUAGUGGCUAACGCUCCCGUUUUUGAAGCGACUAUCCCGGGUUCGAACCCCAGUUAGGUAA